UAUUCCCCACUGCUGCCUCCCGUAGGAGUCUGGUCCGUGUCUCAGUACCAGUGUGGGGGAUAAGCCUCUCAGCUCCCCUAGACAUCGUCGCCUUGGUAAGCCGUUACCUUACCAACUAGCUAAUGUCACGCAUGCCCAUCCGUAACCACCGAAGCUUUCGUUGUAAUAUCAUGCGGUACCACAACAAUAUGGGGAUUAGUGGAAGUUUCCCUCCGUUAUACCCCUGUUACAGGUAGGUUGCAUACGCGUUACGCACCCGUGCGCCGGUYGUCGCCAAAGUAUUGCUACCUCGCGUUACCCCUCGACUUGCAUGUGUUAAGCCUGCCGCCAGCGUUCAUCCUGAGCCAA
Molecule: ribosomal RNA, 348 nt
Filed under: uncultured rumen bacterium
Lineage: Bacteria
Description: partial 16S ribosomal RNA
Source: RNAcentral